UUAUCCAAACUUUUGCUCAAACAGCAUCAAAUUAGGCAAGGAAUCAUAUAACCCACGCUGUUUGCACCAUUUCAUUGCAGAAACGGAAAACUGAUCAUCUCAUCAUACAAAAAUCCAGCUCACUACUUUCAAUCUAGUACUUCACUGAUUGCUUCCUAUUGAAGCUCCAGUUAUCCAAGUGGACAAGACUUCGGGAAUGCAAUGGCAGGAAAAACUCAUUCUAUUAUUUCUGGAAGUGUUAAAGGGACAUUCAGUUGAUGAGGCAAGUCAAGUGCUACUAGUUACGUAGGGCAUGAUAAAAAAAGUUUUGAAAUAAAACAGUGAACAUAUUGUAAGGAUACAUGAAAUUGGAAUUGAAAAGAAGAGCCACCAACCCUCAGAAUUUUGCUCAACAAUCAUUCAACAUAAUAUUCCUUCUUCAAUGACAGUUGUUCUAUACUGCAGUCAAUGUCCAUGUUAAGGCAUUAUGAACCAAUAUUUAGAAAAUGAUCUUCAACUUCUCCAAAACCCCCUUCCAUUUUCAGAAACCAUGGCACACCGAGCAACGCAACUGAAGAUCACCCUGCGUCAAUUGAAACGGGAUCAGAACCGCCGACGAUCGCCAACUCGCUCGGAAAGGAUCCGCCAAGUACAGCAGCUAAUCCGACAGCUGGAUAGUCAGUUUCGCCAGAUGUCCGACCAAGACUUGAAAAAGCCCGUAAGAGUUAACGGUUUUACGUUUCCCCUAUUCUGCGAGGAGGACAUCGAGCGACUCGAGCUGAUGGUACAGCGGAAUCCAAGUAUUCGUGAGCAGAUUGUUAACUAUCUGUGCAUGCGGAAAUCAUUUAGUCAUACGGUCGAGGAAUGUUUUAGGAUUUUUUCACCGAUGAGGCCAUGGUGCGGUACAACUGCAGAGGGCUUGAUCGCGAUCAGUACCCGCGAAAGGCUAUGAUGAACUACAGCAUUUUCACAGAUUGUAUGGUCGAUGCUUGGAGUUCUCACGGAGUGUCAAUGGAAAAGAUUCAUAGUGAGUUGAGGAAAGCUGUCUUCAAGAUUGGACACAGACGGUACUCGAACAAGUGUGCCAGGAAAAAAAGAUUUUUAGAAAGAGCGUGUGAUUUGGAAUGAUCUAACAAAUCAGAAAAACAUAUUUGGUAUAUCUGAUAGAAUCUAAAUAUAUAACUGGAGCUUUCGUGAAAAAUCGCUUGUUUUCUGAAAUGGAGUCUUGAUGAAAGAAAUACUAAAAUUUUAUUUUGUUCUAAGAUAAUUAAAGUUAUUCUUUAGCAAUUAGGAAAAACUGAAACAUUGUAAAUAAAGUCACUCAUAUUGUUUCAAAUCAUUAUUUCUUUUAUUCCAGGCACGAUGACCCAAGUCCAGCCUACAACAUUACCCAUCGUAGGGCAGUGGUACAAAACCAAUUUAACGUUCACCGAAGGUCACAGUAGAAAGCUGUUACUGGAUUUACAGGGCUACACACUGGGUCCGAAAAGAAUUGACAAUCGUGUAACUUGGUGGCAAUGCUCAAAAAGAUACUGCCAGGCACGAGCCGCUACCUACGAUGAUAAGUACAUCAGAUUUGGAGAGUUAUAUCACAAUCAUCCGAUAAAAACGGCGCCCAAAACAUGGAUGACUCUAGUGCUUGCUGAUCUAUCUUUUCUAAAUUCAAAAAACAAAAAACCAUAUUGUACGAACAAAAACUUCAAAACACGUGCCGCUUUUAAUAACGAAAGGAAUAUCAAAUUUAAAGAACUUUGCGACGUUGUUGACUCAUCUGUUUCCUUUUGAUUUGUCUGUUUUCCAAAAUUUAGUUCUAGUAUAACAUUUUGUUUAUUUAAUCGAUGUUAGCCUUGAAUUGGCUGUAAAAAUACAAUGAGUUUCUUUACAAUCUACUACAUCAUUUCUAUGACAUGUUUGAAAUAUUUAUCAUAAUCUCAAUAUCUGCCUUGUCCUUUCAUAAUAAGGCUCUGAGACCAUACAAUAGUAAUUCUCUAAACAAUUGUGAAAAUCGCCUUGUGUAAUAAAUUCACUACCCAUAACAUAAAGCCAUUGAUUUUUUUUUUGUGUUUUUUUUUAUUCUAGCCAUGCCAACUCAAGUCCGAUCUACAAUGUUGCCCAUCGUAGGGCAGUGGUACGAAACCAAUUUUACGUUCACCAAAAGUCGCCGAGGCAAGCUGUUACUGGAUCUACAGGGCUACACGCUGAGACAGAUAAGAAUUGGCAAACGAAUUACAUGGUGGUACUGCUCAAAGAAAACCUGCCUGGCACGUGCCGCUACCUUGGGUGAUCGGUUCAUCAGUUUCGGAGAGUUAUAUCACAAUCAUCCUAUUCAAACUGGUUCUUCAGCGUGGAUUCCUCUAGUACCUACCGAUUUAUCUUUUCUACCAAGUUCAAAAGAUAUGGCCAAAAAAUGGAAAACGAAGAAAAGUCCAAAUGGGUUCUUGGCAAGCUCAAAGGAAAUCAAAUAUGUAUACAAUUCAUAAGAAUACACAGACUAUAUAAGGAAGCAUCCAGCCACCAAACGUGGUAGUCUUGUAUGAACAAAAACUCCAAAGCAUGACUGUUGAGUCAUCUGUUUGAUUUGUCUGUUUUUGAAAAUCCAGUUCUAUUUCUUUACAUAGUAUCACCAGUAUAAAUUGUAUAAGAAGAAAACAUCCAGCCAGCUAACUUUGUGGUAUUGUAUGAACAUAUGUGCCGAGCACGUGCCGCCACUAUCGAUGAAAGGCACAUCAAAUUUGGAAAACUGUAUCACGAUCAUCCGACAGGGAAGAUAUCGACAUUGUUUAAUCCUCUGUUUCCUACCGAUUUGUCUUGUCUACCGAAUCGGAAACAGAUUGUCAGAGUGACGAAAAAGUAUUCAAAACUGUUAGGAUUGUGGCUGAUCAAAGAAUCACCUUCUUUGAAUUGGAAGACUGAGUAGUGCCUUGCUUACCAAUAAUGGCGAGAUAACCGAAAACACAUCGAAAUGAAAAUUCCUGGCCGUUUAACUUAUCAUUGCUAGCGUAAACCAACGCUGAUUUUUUUGUAUAAUCUAGUACCUCUUUUCAAAAGUUCAUUUGGUAUAUCUGACAGAAUCUCAACAUCUUCCUGGUCCUUCCAUAAUGUGACUCUGGAGACAGUACGCUAGAUGUUCUCUAAAUCGUGAGGAAAGACGUACUAGAAUGUGAUUCUAUUCGUAGUUUAAACUUUCUGUGUAAGUGAAAAUCAAAAGUGAAUUACGAAUAAAAUUGAGCAAGGUGUGAAUAUUUGCCAUUAAUUCAUUCAUAAAGUUUCGAAAUGUUUGUAUUUUUCUGCACAUGUCGAUAAUAAAUGUUGAUAAUGCCCAUCGUAGAGCAGUGGUUCGAUUCAAAUUUUAGAAUUACGACGCGUUGUUGAGGCGAGCUGCGUCUGAAAAUAACUGGUAAACGAAUAACUUAGUGGUACUGUUCAAACCAAAUCAAUUCUGCAAUAAAUUAUUUAUAUAUAAGAAUCUUAGUAGCAUACAUACCAAAUAUGCUGUGCUAAUCGACUAAUCAUUCGUGUGACUUUGUCUAACCUAGAAUUUAUUUCCGUUUCAGCCAAUGGAUACUACAUUUUGGGGGUGAAAUUUAUGGAACGCGAGGAAAUUAAUGCACUUCUGCUUCCUCCAUAUCUAGCGGUUUGAACCAAGUGCAUUGCCGGAUUGAAAGAGUGACUUCGGUUUUUGGUAUUUUUAUUGUGGAUCUGUGGCAUCGAACCGGUUUCCGUAGUAGCACCAUUGACAUCCGCUAUGCGUUAAACAUAAGGUAGAAACUAGUGAGCGCUACUUUCUACAGCUUUCGACGAAAUGUUCAGCGCAUAGCAACGGUAGCGGAAAUCAAUUAAGUGAUUUCGGAAAUCAAUUGGGUGACAAAUUCACUAUACAGCGUUUCCAUAUCGUAAACUAUAAAGUAAUUCUUAGUAUAAUCCAUAGGAAUUGCCGUCGGUGUUCACGCCGCUGAAAAGAAGCAACCUACAAGGAGCCCAAGAAUCAGAUUCACCGAAAGUUGCGCACGGAAAUCAGUCACGAUAGCAGCAAUGGAACGCACAAGCUUAGAUAAGUUGGUUUAAAAAAGGGAGCCUUCUUUGGGAAGCCGGCAAAACAACGAGCAUCCGUUCAAGGAAGCAUCGUAUGUACAUCACUUAUCUGCUUGUCGACGAAUUCAUCAAUAAGUUUGGCAGAUUAACACGUGAGAAACUAGUCCGUUAUGCCACAGAACUUUAAAGCAUUUUUUCCAAUAUCGUUAUUUUGCGCGUUUUGUCGUACAAACAUGAAUAUGUUUUCAAAACAUCCUACUAA
Molecule: long non-coding RNA, 4273 nt
Organism: Aedes albopictus (Asian tiger mosquito)
Lineage: Eukaryota; Metazoa; Arthropoda; Insecta; Diptera; Culicidae
Exons: 3
Source: RefSeq, a predicted model, not a curated record